RNAcentral lists this ribosomal RNA (433 nucleotides) under uncultured bacterium. Its description in RNAcentral is "partial 16S ribosomal RNA". It matches the Rfam family "Bacterial small subunit ribosomal RNA", at positions 36 to 507 of the family's 1533-position model. The record is from RNAcentral.
ACCGCCCCCUUUCUUCAUUCCUAACACAUGCAAGUCGAACGAGACCUUCGGGUCUAGUGGCGCACGGGUGCGUAACGCGUGGGAACCUGCCCUUAGGUUCGGAAUAACUCCCCGAAAGGGGUGCUAAUACCGGAUAAUGUCUUCGGACCAAAGAUUUAUCGCCUUUGGAUGGGCCCGCGUUGGAUUAGCUAGUUGGUAGGGUAAAAGCCUACCAAGGCGACGAUCCAUAGCUGGUCUGAGAGGAUGAUCAGCCACACUGGGACUGAGACACGGCCCAGACUCCUACGGGAGGCAGCAGUGGGGAAUAUUGGACAAUGGGCGAAAGCCUGAUCCAGCAAUGCCGCGUGAGUGAUGAAGGCCUUAGGGUUGUAAAGCUCUUUUACCCGGGAUGAUAAUGACAGUACCGGGAGAAUAAGCUCCGGCUAACUCCGUG